GUUCCCGGGCCUUGUACACACCGCCCGUCACACCAUGGGAGUUUGUUGCACCAGAAGCAGGUAGCUUAACCGCGAGGAGGGCGCUUGCCACGGUGUGGCCGAUGACUGGGGUGAAGUCGUAACAAGGUAGCCGUAUCGGAAGGUGCGGCUGGAUCACCUCCUUU
RNAcentral lists this ribosomal RNA (164 nucleotides) under Xylella fastidiosa. Its description in RNAcentral is "partial 16S-23S ribosomal RNA". It matches the Rfam family "Bacterial small subunit ribosomal RNA", at positions 1370 to 1533 of the family's 1533-position model. Lineage: Bacteria; Pseudomonadati; Pseudomonadota; Gammaproteobacteria; Lysobacterales; Lysobacteraceae. The record is from RNAcentral.